AUACGGAGGAUCCGAGCGUUAUCCGGAUUUAUUGGGUUUAAAGGGUGCGCAGGCGGCCAUUUAAGUCAGCGGUUAAAUCGUGGGGCUCAACCCCAUUCUGCCGUUGAUACUGGGUGGCUUGAUUGCGGUCGAGGUUGGCGGAAUUCGUUGUGUAGCGGUGAAAUGCAUAGAUAUGACGAAGAACGCCGAUUGCGUAGGCAGCUGACCAGAUCGCAAAUGACGCUCAUGCACGAAAGUGCGGGGAUCGAACAGGAUUAGAUACCCUGGUAGUCCGCACAGUAAACGAUGAAUACUUGUUUUCGGCGAUAUAAUGUCGGAGGCAAAGCGAAAGCGAUAAGUAUUCCACCUGGGGAGUACGCCGGCAACGGUGAAACUCAAAGGAAUUGGCGGGG
This 392-nucleotide ribosomal RNA is filed under the name uncultured bacterium. RNAcentral describes it as "partial 16S ribosomal RNA". It matches the Rfam family "Bacterial small subunit ribosomal RNA", at positions 523 to 918 of the family's 1533-position model. The record is from RNAcentral.